Molecule: ribosomal RNA, 158 nt
Filed under: Margalefidinium polykrikoides
Lineage: Eukaryota; Dinophyceae; Gymnodiniales; Gymnodiniaceae
Description: 5.8S ribosomal RNA
Rfam family: 5.8S ribosomal RNA
About the family: 5.8S ribosomal RNA (5.8S rRNA) is a component of the large subunit of the eukaryotic ribosome. It is transcribed by RNA polymerase I as part of the 45S precursor that also contains 18S and 28S rRNA. Functionally, it is thought that 5.8S rRNA may be involved in ribosome translocation.
Source: RNAcentral
CAACUUGCAGCGACGGAUGUCUCGGCUCAAACAACGAUGAAGGACGCAGCGAAGUGUGAUAAGCAUUGUGAAUGCAGAACUCCGUGAAUCAACAGACUUUUGAACGUACGUUGCGCUGCCGGGUUACCCCUGGCAGCAUGUCUACUUCAGUGUCUACU